GACGAACGCUGGCGGCGUGCUUAACACAUGCAAGUCGAACGGAAAGGCCCUGCUUUUGUGGGUUGCUCGAGUGGCGAACGGGUGAGUAACACGUGAGUAACCUGCCCUUGACUUUGUGAUAACUUCAGGAAACUGGGGCUAAUACCGGAUAGGAGCUCCUGCUGCAUGGUGGGGGUUGGAAAGUUUCGGCGGUUGGGGAUGGACUCGCGGCUUAUCAGCUUGUUGGUGGGGUAGUGGCUUACCAAGGCUUUGACGGGUAGCCGGCCUGAGAGGGUGACCGGCCACAUUGGGACUGAGAUACGGCCCAGACUCCUACGGGAGGCAGCAGUGGGGAAUAUUGCACAAUGGGCGGAAGCCUGAUGCAGCAACGCCGCGUGCGGGAUGACGGCCUUCGGGUUGUAAACCGCUUUCGCCGGUGACGAAGCGUGAGUGACGGUAAUGGGUAAAGAAGCACCGGCUAACUACGUG
Molecule: ribosomal RNA, 468 nt
Filed under: uncultured bacterium
Lineage: Bacteria
Description: partial 16S ribosomal RNA
Rfam family: Bacterial small subunit ribosomal RNA
Source: RNAcentral